AAGGAUUUAAGUUAAAAAAACUAUUAACCUUCAAAGUUAAAAAUGAGUGAUUCAAGCCUUA
Molecule: transfer RNA, 61 nt
Filed under: unidentified
Description: Wallacea dactyliferae tRNA-Trp
Source: RNAcentral